RNAcentral lists this ribosomal RNA (253 nucleotides) under uncultured bacterium. Its description in RNAcentral is "partial 16S ribosomal RNA". It matches the Rfam family "Bacterial small subunit ribosomal RNA", at positions 524 to 776 of the family's 1533-position model. The record is from RNAcentral.
UACGGGGGGUGCAAGCGUUAUCCGGAUUCACUGGGUUUAAAGGGUGCGUAGGCGGGCAGGUAAGUCAGUGGUGAAAUCUCCGGGCUUAACUCGGAAACUGCCAUUGAUACUAUCUUUCUUGAAUACCGUGGAGGUCAGCGGAAUAUGUCAUGUAGCGGUGAAAUGCUUAGAUAUGACAUAGAACACCAAUGGCGAAGGCAGCUGGCUACACGAAUAUUGACACUGAUGCACGAAAGCGUGGGGAGCAAACAGG